GACGAACGCUGGCGGCGUGCCUAAUACAUGCAAGUCGAGCGGAUCUUUUCCUUCGGGGAAAGGUUAGCGGCGGACGGGUGAGUAACACGUGGGUAACCUGCCCAUAAGACUGGGAUAACAUUCGGAAACGAAUGCUAAUACCGGAUACGCGAAUUGGUCGCAUGGCCAAAUCGGGAAAGGCGGAGCAAUCUGCCGCUUAUGGAUGGACCCGCGGCGCAUUAGCUAGUUGGUGAGGUAACGGCUCACCAAGGCGACGAUGCGUAGCCGACCUGAGAGG
Molecule: ribosomal RNA, 277 nt
Filed under: uncultured bacterium
Lineage: Bacteria
Description: partial 16S ribosomal RNA
Rfam family: Bacterial small subunit ribosomal RNA
Source: RNAcentral